GAUGAACGCUGGCGGCGUGCCUAAUACAUGCAAUUCGAGCGAACGGACGAGAAUCUUGCUUCUCUGAUGUUAGCGGCGGACGGGUGAGUACCACGUGGAUAACCUACCUAUAAGACUGGGAUAACUUCUGGAAACCGGAGCUAAUACCGGAUAAUAUUUUGUACCGCAUGGUUCAAAAGUGAAAGACGUUCUUGCUGUCACUUAUAGAUGGAUCCGCGCUGACUUAGCUAGUUGGUAAGGUAACGGCUUACCAAGGCAACGAUGCAUAGCCGACCUCAGAGGGUGAUCGGCCACACUGGAACUGAGACACUGUCCAGACUCCUACGGGAGGCAGCAGUAGGGAAUCUGCCGCAAUGGGCGAAAGCCUGACGGAGCAACGCAGCGUGAGUGAUGAAGGUCUUCGGAUCGUAAAACUCUGUUAUUAGGGAAGAACAUAUGUGAGAGUAACUGUGCACAUCUUGACGGUACCUAAUCAGAAAGCCACGGCUAACUACGUG
This 497-nucleotide ribosomal RNA is filed under the name uncultured bacterium. Its description in RNAcentral is "partial 16S ribosomal RNA". It matches the Rfam family "Bacterial small subunit ribosomal RNA", at positions 28 to 507 of the family's 1533-position model. The record is from RNAcentral.